This 202-nucleotide long non-coding RNA is filed under the name Lathyrus oleraceus (garden pea). RNAcentral describes it as "Pisum sativum (pea) long non-coding RNA (PSAT_LNC028108)". Lineage: Eukaryota; Viridiplantae; Streptophyta; Magnoliopsida; Fabales; Fabaceae. The record is from RNAcentral.
UUUAAGUUAAUAAUAUAUUUAUUAAUUUAAUUAAAUAAUUGGAAUUUUUAUUAUUGGAUUAUUAUUUUAUUGGAAUAAAAGUUGGAAUUUAGAAAAGGUCCCAUUUAGUAAAAAGGUUUAUUUUCACGUGAAAAGGAAAAAGGGGCCAGAAAAGUGGAAAAAGGGCAAAAGAGAACCAGAGAACAAGGGUUGGAGAGAGGAA